This 494-nucleotide ribosomal RNA is filed under the name uncultured bacterium. RNAcentral's name for it is "partial 16S ribosomal RNA". It matches the Rfam family "Bacterial small subunit ribosomal RNA", at positions 28 to 507 of the family's 1533-position model. The record is from RNAcentral.
GACGAACGCUGGCGGCGUGCUUAACACAUGCAAGUCGAACGGUGAAGCGCCUUCCUUUUUGGUGGGUGUGGAUGAGUGGCGAACGGGUGAGUAACACGUGAGUAACCUGCCCCCUUCUUCUGGAUAACCGCAUGAAAGUGUGGCUAAUACGGGAUAUUCUGGGUCUGUCGCAUGAUGGGUCUGGGAAAGAUAUUGUUUCGGUGGGGGAUGGGCUCGCGGCCUAUCAGCUUGUUGGUGGGGUGAUGGCCUACCAAGGCGGUGACGGGUAGCCGGCCUGAGAGGGUGGACGGUCACACUGGGACGGAGACACGGACCAGACUACGACGGGAGGCAGCAGUGAGGAAUAUUGCACAAUGGGAGCAAGCCUGAUGCAGCGACGCCGCGGGAGGGAUGGAGGCCUUCGGGUUGUGAACCUCUUUCGGCAGUGAAGCAGGCCUGCCUCGUUUGUGGGUGGGUUGACGGUAGCUGGAUAAGAAGCGCCGGCUAACUACGUG